UAAUAAGGAGAAAAAUAAUCAUACAUUGAGGGACGAGUUACCCAAUUGAAUGGGAAAUUUCUUCUCUAAAAAAAACAUUCAUUGUAAUUCAAUUCACUCCUCGAGUUGCUAUUUGCGCCAACACUUCUAUAUCUAAGUAAUAGAACCCAUAUUAAAUAUGAAGAAAAAAAAAUACAUAAAAUAAAUCUUCACAAUUGUUUUUGUGACAUGAAUUCAUUAGGCAAACACUAUACAUAUAUCUAUAUAGAAGAUCUAUAAAUAGCAAAAUUCACUUAAUUAUAGUACGUUAAGGAUUGUUGUUGUCAUGCCAAUGUAUUAUUAGCAUAUUACUACAUAGAAAAUUGCAUACAUUAUACAACUAAAGUUCAUCAAAAGUGCACUAUAAUUUAGUCACAUAACAGAGCAAGCAUUGGGGUUCUCAUCACUGAAUAUUUCAGGAUCAUAAACAUACUCUAAGUAAGACUUUGAUGACCAAUAUUCACUUCUUUUGAUGUCACUCUUCUUAUCUUCCUCUCCCUUUCCUUCUUCACCAUCUUUCUUUUCUCCUUCUUCCUUCUUCUCCUCUUCUUUCUUCUCUUCUUCCUUCUUCUCUUCAUCUUUCACUAUGGAUGCUUGCUUUCUAGUCUUCUUAUACACAUCAUCAACUAGCUUUGUCGGAUCGACCACGCCCUUUACUAUUACUUGACUAUUAGCUAGAUCCGUUUCAACCGAUUCUACACCUACAUUAACCCAUUUGAAAGAAAUUUGAUGUUCAGCUAGAAUCUUUCAACAUUAUAUUUCAAACUAUUUAAAAAUGAAAUUAAAUCAAAUUAGGAGAAUGGUAAAUAAUUUUUUUAUACAAUUGACUUGGAUUUGAAACUCAAAUUUAAAAUUUCACAGGUUUGAAAAUCAUUUCAGUAUCACCGACUAAAGCUCCUUGAUUAAAAGAAUGGUUAUAAGUCAAAGAAGAGAACCUUGGAUCUUUCGAACUCGCUUUUGUAAAACUUGAGCACAUGCUUCGCAAUGCAUUCGAACGCUCAAUACAACUGUUACUACAGCAGGAGGCUCCUCCUUUUUCUCUUCCUUUGGUGCUUCUUCUUUGUUUUCUUGCUUGUUUUCUUCUUGUGGCUUUGGCAAAGGUGAAAUUAA
RNAcentral lists this unclassified non-coding RNA (1128 nucleotides) under Hevea brasiliensis (rubber tree). Lineage: Eukaryota; Viridiplantae; Streptophyta; Magnoliopsida; Malpighiales; Euphorbiaceae. The record is from RNAcentral.